Molecule: long non-coding RNA, 402 nt
Organism: Mesocricetus auratus (golden hamster)
Lineage: Eukaryota; Metazoa; Chordata; Mammalia; Rodentia; Cricetidae
Exons: 3
Source: RefSeq, a predicted model, not a curated record
UCACGAUGUAGGAAGCCAGAGGAGUAAGAGGUCUGGACUCUGUUCUCAGCUGCUGUGUGGUGAUGUCUGUGAUAAGACCGGUGUGGCCUGUAGACAUGAACCAUCCAUCUCCAUUAUCCAUUCAUCUCCAUCAGUUUACCUGGACCAGUCUAGAGGGAUAGUGCAAGUGAAAUGUUCAGAAAGUUUGCAGAUGCUGCUUGUGGUAGCUGAACUACAACAGACAGAAAGAUUCUCACAGAGUUCUGCACAAGAAUAACCUGCGGCUGGGAAAACUGUCUCCAACCAUCCCUCUGCUUCUUGUGUCACAACCUACCUGGAGCUUUUAUGCACACUGCUCAGCUCACCACCACGAAAGUCUUGUGCUUGUUGGGAUGUUUGCUGCAAUCGUGGAGGGAGGAACCC